RNAcentral lists this long non-coding RNA (2291 nucleotides) under Solanum lycopersicum (tomato). RNAcentral describes it as "partial TCONS_00176577". Lineage: Eukaryota; Viridiplantae; Streptophyta; Magnoliopsida; Solanales; Solanaceae. The record is from RNAcentral.
GGUGGUUGGAAUUUGGAAAGGAGAUAACAAACUUGGAAUGUCCUUUAUGAACUUGUUUUUCCUCACUUUCAUCAGGGAAGUUAUUUUCUUCUUUCGAAGGAACUUUUUUUCCUAGAGAAAAUGUUCUCCAAAAUAUUUUGACCUACCAAAUAUGGGAAAAUUAGAAAACCCUUUGUUGCUUUGCGAGAUUCAGGGGAUGUUAUGGUGGAAUAUGCAGGGAGCUUUUGCCCUGCAUUAUCACUUUCAAUAGUUUAAAAAGGUAUUUUGCAGGGUAAUUUAUUAAUUUUUAUUGCCUCCACUUUCCUUGUUAAGUGAUCAAGAAAAAACUCGUUUCCAUUUGUCACAGAUUAGUGGUUCCUUUUAUCCCCUUAUUCUUCCAAUCAAUGAGAGAAGAACGUACUUUUUCUUUUGGAUAGGUAAUGAGCGAACAACUUUCUUGCUAGGGAAGAUAUUGACUACCACUAGUUUAGAAAGAUUUAUGAAACACUUCUAUAGUUUGCUUGUGAUGUGACCCUCACUGGACCCUGAAUGGAUGCAGUGGACUGCCCUCUUUUUUUCUCUUCAUAAUUUGCUUGAUUUGUUUGACUGAGAUGAAACGGAACCUUACCCGAGAUUACUAAUUUCGAGCUAAAACAUGUAAUUUGUUCAUUGUCUAUUUGUAACAUUGAAGUUCAUUCUUGCAGGUGUAAGACAGGAAAGCACACAACAGAAAAACCAGUGAUUGCAACACCAUCUGCUACCAAAAAUAAAGCAGUUCCUGUGCCAGUGCGUGUGCCAGCUCCUAUGACCAAUGCAUCACCGAAAGAAGCCUGUUCUAGAUGCCACCAGGGAUUCUUUUGUUCUGAUCAUGGUAAGUCUUCCAUUUUCUAACUUCAUCUAACAUUAUACUUUGGAAGACUAGGACAAUUCUAGACUUCUAGUUGAGUUUAGCAAAAUUGAAAAAUAGCAGGGGAGGCUGUUCAUUCUAUAGAUGCUGAACUCAACCUUCCCAGUUGUGACUUCCUAGUAGGUUAAUAACGAGGAAAAAGUGUGUUUUCAUUUUCACUCUGCCUUUUUCUACUCCCAUUUAGAGACUCUUUUGCUUGUAGAGCCUACUCUGAUCAGUUCUUGUGCUAUCAUGUUUCAUUUAAGGUUCACGACCCAGAGAAGCAAUUCCAAAAGCAUCAAAUACAGUAACAUCUCUACCUUCUGAGAGCAAUACAGUUGUACAGCAAGACCAUCCAGCUCCAGUGAAAAAGAAAAUUGAUAUAAAUGAGCCCCAAAUUUGUAAAAACAAGAGCUGCGGUAAGACCUUUACAGAAAAGGAAAAUCACGACACUGCUUGUAAUUACCAUCCCGGCCCCGCUAUCUUCCAUGACCGGAUGAAAGGAUGGAAAUGCUGUGAUGUUCAUGUCAAAGAAUUUGACGAGUUCAUGACCAUACCUCCAUGCACCAAAGGAUGGCACAACAGUGACCCAGUGUCCUAAUAGACAGGUUCAUGAAUGAGCCACACAUGACUUGUUUGUUGCAUCAUUCAUCGAUCAACUGUUGUUGCUUCUCUGGACAUUGACAUAACUUUACUUUCGGUCCAUCUGCAACUAGUUCUUUGUGUCUGUAAGGUAGACACCUGAGACGAACAAUCUAUAACGUCUGAAUUUUUUGAUAGACAAAUCGGAGAAAUAGCUCAGUCAAUACAUUGUUGAGAUUGUUAUGACCCUCUUUAGCCCUUUGUCAUUCGUUACUGGGUAUCAUUUUCCUUCUGACUAUGUUACUUGACUCUUAGAAAAUGUUAAUGUGUGUCGGAUACUCUAAAAGUUUGUUAGUCGGGAUUUUAUUGCACACUAUUCUCUCUUGUUAAUAAUAUUGCGUUGGAUGAGGUAACAUGUGGAAAUUGAGAACUCUUCAAAAAGUGUGUUAAGUUUUGCUUACACUAGCAAUAUGCCACACUUCGAAUUUGAAUGAUCUAUUCCAACUAGAAAUAACUUUUUUAACUUUUAAGAAUUUUCAUUUUCUUUUUAAUGAAAUGAUCGUAAUCUAGUUUGCAAUAUUAUGUAUCUUUUUAAAUUUUGGUGGCCGUCAAGGUACAUUUAGAUACACGUAACUUAGGAUACACAUGGUCAAAAUUAGUGUAAUUUGUUCAGGAUACACGGUGUUUAAGCGGAUUCACAUGUAUUUGAGAUACAUAAUAAAUUUUCGUUCAACGCUUUUCUAUGUAUCUGGUAUCCUUGAUACAUACAUAGAUUUUGCAUGUAUUCGGAACAAAUAACAAACCUCGCUCGACACUCUUUUAUAAAUCUAGUAUGUCGGAUACA